This is a long non-coding RNA of Diceros bicornis minor, 2788 nucleotides long. RefSeq lists it as uncharacterized. The transcript has 3 exons. Lineage: Eukaryota; Metazoa; Chordata; Mammalia; Perissodactyla; Rhinocerotidae. The record is from RefSeq and is a predicted model, not a curated record.
CUGCGGUGGGGUCGGUGGUUGGGUUUGCAGCUGGGGAGGGUUUCUAUCAGUAAAAGGAGCAGGUGAUAUCUCCGUUCUUUCUUUUUUUAACGCUUGAAAUGAAACAAGGCAGCCAUAUGCCUUACAUAAAAGUUAGAAAAUACAGGCUGAAGAACUUAAAAUGGAUUUAGAAUCCUGCAAAAAGGCAGUUUGGAGUGUCGGGGUACUGCUGAAACUCUCCACUGGUGGUCUCAGGAGGUAGACAAGUUUUUCCCAAUAGCAGAAGAGGUCUUCUCGUGCAUCUGAAGAAGGACACAGCUGCAGAUAAAAAGUGCGGCCGGUGGCAAGCUUCAGGCGCAACUGCUGUUUCUCGCGAUCGUGGAUGGAGAUCUUGACAAACUUCAAGGGAAGCAGCCUGGUGAGCUCUAGGGUCUUCAUGGGCUUGUGACCUCUCCCCCUGGUGGGCCGGGCAGGUCUGGCAUGCUCUUCACAGACUUUAGUUGGUCGGGCCAGCAGCAUGACGUCAGGUAGUGGAAGGAUGGGGCUGGUGGAUGCGAUGCCCACAGUCACCAUUCGGACACGGUUGUGUACAUCAAUCACCUCUCCUUUUUUGCUGAUCUGGAUAAAGUCACUCUCAAACAUCGGUGCGUACUUGAAAAUAUCAUACUCUCCUCCCUUGUUCAGUUGUCGCUGCAGGUCUCCCAUGGAGGUAUUGAACACACCCGUUGAACGGUAGCUGUGGGCCGUGUAAUAAGGUAACAAACAUUCACUGCUCAUGGUUCUCUUCAUUCUGGACAGCUCCGCCAGCCACAAGUUGAGUCCCCGAGAGAGAGAUGGAGUGAAGGCAACUGCCCAUCUCCCUGCAGGGCUCUGCCUAAAUAUCCUCGCACUACCACAUUUAUCCUCCACAGUCCUUUGUGACCUGUCACCAUCCCACAUCCCUUUGUCCCAGCCUCCAAGCAGCCACCCCCUGGGGCAGGGUCACCAGCCUCCCCCCAGACAAACCACCACCUCCACAGGGGACAGGCUGACCCUGCCAGGGUUAGGUGUGGGUAGGCUGGAUAUUCUUUCUAAUCAAAAUGUUGGGAUGCAUAAUUUAUGAAACCAUUCCACUUUUGUAAAUGUCGGGAUUGUUUCCAGUUUUGUUGUUGUUGUUACAGACAUCUCUGCAAUGAUCAUCUUCCUGCAAAUAUACUUCUGCAUCUGUUGAAUUAUUUCCUGUGGAUAAAAUCCUGGAAGUGGGCCAUGUGCUUGAUAAGGGGAGGGAUCCUGUCGGGGUUGUUAUUCCCCGUGUCCCUAGUGCAUAGCACAGUGCUAACAGAUACUCAGAAAAAGUUGUUGAAUGAAUGGUUCAAAAGGGCUUCUGCUACCUAUCAGAAACAGAGUCCCAUUUGUACAGCAGUUUCCAGUGUGUGAAGGUUUUUCUCACCCAUUUUCUCAUUUGAAGGAGGCUAAUGUUUAAAACCAUAAUUUUAUGUUGAGGAGUUGAGGCUCAAGAUGAUCUUGCUCAGGGUCAGAAUGCACAGCUGGAUUCUAUUCCAGGUCUUGUGACUCAGGUCAGGGCUUUUUCUCUGUCUCAAGCUUCAUGGUUCACCAUUAUACUCUCAUUCUGCACCAAAUAUGGAGUCGUUUGCAGUUAGCAAUAUGUGUGGGGACUUACUGGGAACCACAGGAAUUCACAGAGGUCUUGAAUCACCAUAGGAUUUCCCACACUGGUAUGCCUGCUGCUUAGCCCUUGAUGUCUACCUGAUAAACCAUUGACGUUUCGUUUCUUUGAAAAGGUCUUCAGAGAAAUUAUGGCAAAGACACCUUUCUGGAGUUUUUUUACUUUGUACAAGGUGAUGAAUCCAAAUUCCCCCUCCUCCAGUUAGAAAAUGACUUCUGAAAUAAAAACAUAUCCCCCAAACUCAAUGAUUGCUAUGUGAAGGUCUUGAAAUAAACUUCAACCCCCUGAAUGUUCUUUUUUAUAUUGCUAGUGCCUACUGCAGUACCUGGCAUAUGGAAGCUUUUCAAUUAAUAUGAACUUGCUUGUACCCAUUGAAAUUCAUUCUUCCGUUCAUUUAGUCAACAAAAUUUAUUGAGCAAGUACUAUUUUUGGGACCAACUAGGAAAUGGAAAUGCGAAGAUAAAGGUCUCUGCCUCUGAAGAGCUAAAAUGUUUUUCUAAAGAUAUAAAAUGACUUCUCCAAAAAUAGAACACAGUGGCUUAUAUUCUACUAUAAGGAGAUAAUCACUGAAAGUUAACACUAUUAGCCUUAAAAAUAAGAAGUAAGUAAAUUUUCUAUAUUCGGCCAUAUAUUCUUCUCUUAAGCUCAUUUCUGAUGAAUGAUUUAAUAAUGAGAGAAAUCAUAAUUAUAUCAUUAAGAACUUACUACAAGCCAGGCAUGGUGCUAGCCACUUUACAUUCUUUUAAAAAUUUAAUCCUCACAACAGCCCUGUAAAAUGUAGGUACAACAACUAUCCCUGUUUUAUAAAGGAGGAAAUCAAAGCUCCAAGAAGUUAAGCAGCUUCAUCAAGGUCACAAGAGACCAAAAGCAUAUGGAAGACCCCAAAUGUGGCAAUGGUUAAACUACACUGGAGUGGGUGGCACAAAAAGAACACAAAUGCACAAGUACUAUGCAGCAUAAAUUCAUCCACUCAUUUAAUUAAUAUUAAGUGCCUACUUUGUGCCAGCUUCUGUUCUAGGUGCUAGGAACACAGCAGUGGACAAAACAAAUAUCCUUGCUCUCAUGAAGCUUGUGUCUAAUAGACAGUAAAUGAGCAAAUAUAUGGUAUGUCCAAUGCUGGUAAGUGCUAUAGAGAAAAGACAA